AUUGAACGCUAGCGGGAUGCUUUACACAUGCGAGUCGAACGGCAGCGCGGACUUCGGUCUGGCGGCGAGUGGCGAACGGGUGAGUAAUGUAUCGGAACGUGCCCAGUAGCGGGGGAUAACUACGCGAAAGCGUAGCUAAUACCGCAUACGCCCUACGGGGGAAAGCAGGGGAUCGUAAGACCUUGCACUAUUGGAGCGGCCGAUAUCGGAUUAGCUAGUUGGUGAGGUAACGGCUCACCAAGGCGACGAUCCGUAGCUGGUUUGAGAGGACGACCAGCCACACUGGGACUGAGACACGGCCCAGACUCCUACGGGAUGCAGCAGUGGGGAAUUUUGGACAAUGGGGGCAACCCUGAUCCAGCCAUCCCGCGUGUGCGAUGAAGGCCUUCGGGUUGUAAAGCACUUUUGGCAGGAAAGAAACGUCGCGGGCUAAUACCCCGUGGAACUGACGGUACCUGCAGAAUAAGCACCGGCUAACUACGUG
Molecule: ribosomal RNA, 484 nt
Filed under: uncultured bacterium
Lineage: Bacteria
Description: partial 16S ribosomal RNA
Rfam family: Bacterial small subunit ribosomal RNA
Source: RNAcentral